Molecule: long non-coding RNA, 582 nt
Filed under: Pan troglodytes (chimpanzee)
Lineage: Eukaryota; Metazoa; Chordata; Mammalia; Primates; Hominidae
Description: long non-coding RNA NONPTRT017490
Source: RNAcentral
UACAAAACCCCACAGCUCCUAGGAAUUCUCUCACCAGCCUUCUGCCCUUAGGCUCCGGAAGAUUGCAAAUGACCUCCUUUCUUUCGGAUCCCGGGCUGCUUUCGGACACCUGUCGAAUAGUAAAUCCCAAGUAAGCUACCUGCGGUCGUCGGCAGAUCUGAGUUUUCUUCUUGGACACCUAAUACCCACAGCCCUCCAGCCUCCCAACGUGCUGGGAUUGCAGGUGCGAGCCACCGGGUCCAGCCUUUCAGGCGAUUUUCAUACCUGCAUACUCUGAUCACUACUCUGUUAAACAGUCAAGGAGGCUGAGUGCCACGUGCUGACAUCACUAAGAUCAAUACAGCAAACUCUGAAAGAUGGACAGAGAGAGAGGAGAUGGUCCUUUAUAAUGCAGUGUGAUCUGUGCUGCAAUAGAGGACGGGAGAGGUUUAAACAUGUUACUACAUUGAAUAAAUGAAAUAACCAUGGACAUGGAGUGGCUAAAGAUUCUGAACUAAGUGCAAGUAAUUGAUAGCGCAAGCUCCCAAGGGGCUGGGGCCUGGAGCGCAGAUGGAUGGAUCCACUGUGGGCAGAACUGGGGCG